RNAcentral lists this microRNA (23 nucleotides) under Heligmosomoides polygyrus. Its description in RNAcentral is "hpo-miR-10061-3p". Lineage: Eukaryota; Metazoa; Nematoda; Chromadorea; Rhabditida; Heligmosomidae. The record is from miRBase by way of RNAcentral.
GUGAUUCCGAACGCUCUGCACGC